GAUGAACGCUGGCGGCGUGCCUAAUACAUGCAAGUCGAGCGAACAGACGAGGAGCUUGCUCCUCUGACGUUAGCGGCGGACGGGUGAGUAACACGUGGAUAACCUACCUAUAAGACUGGGAUAACUUCGGGAAACCGGAGCUAAUACCGGAUAAUAUAUUGAACCGCAUGGUUCAAUAGUGAAAGACGGUUUUGCUGUCACUUAUAGAUGGAUCCGCGCCGCAUUAGCUAGUUGGUAAGGUAACGGCUUACCAAGGCGACGAUGCGUAGCCGACCUGAGAGGGGGAUCGGCCACACUGGAACUGAGACGCGGUCCAGACUCCUACGGGAGGCAGCAGUAGGGAAUCUUCCGCAAUGGGCGAAAGCCUGACGGAGCAACGCCGCGUGAGUGAUGAAGGUCUUCGGAUCGUAAAACUCUGUUAUUAGGGAAAAACAAAUGUGUAAGUAACUGUGCACGUCUUGACGGUACCUAAUCAGAAAGCCACGGCUAACUACGUG
This 497-nucleotide ribosomal RNA is filed under the name uncultured bacterium. Its description in RNAcentral is "partial 16S ribosomal RNA". It matches the Rfam family "Bacterial small subunit ribosomal RNA", at positions 28 to 507 of the family's 1533-position model. The record is from RNAcentral.